This 69-nucleotide transfer RNA is filed under the name Micralestes sp. NM-2010. RNAcentral's name for it is "tRNA-His". It matches the Rfam family "tRNA". From Rfam's summary of the family: Transfer RNA (tRNA) molecules are approximately 80 nucleotides in length. Their secondary structure includes four short double-helical elements and three loops (D, anti-codon, and T loops). Further hydrogen bonds mediate the characteristic L-shaped molecular structure. tRNAs have two regions of fundamental functional importance: the anti-codon, which is responsible for specific mRNA codon recognition, and the 3' end, to which the tRNAs corresponding amino acid is attached (by aminoacyl-tRNA synthetases). tRNAs cope with the degeneracy of the genetic code in two manners: having more than one tRNA (with a specific anti-codon) for a particular amino acid; and 'wobble' base-pairing, i.e. permitting non-standard base-pairing at the 3rd anti-codon position. Lineage: Eukaryota; Metazoa; Chordata; Actinopteri; Characiformes; Alestidae. The record is from RNAcentral.
GUAGGCAUAGUUUUAAAAAAAUACUAGAUUGUGGUUCUAGAGAUGGUGGUUAAAAUCCUCCUGCCCACC